Molecule: ribosomal RNA, 479 nt
Filed under: Spironucleus salmonicida
Lineage: Eukaryota; Fornicata; Diplomonadida; Hexamitidae
Description: SSU rRNA
Rfam family: Eukaryotic small subunit ribosomal RNA
Source: RNAcentral
GAAACAGCUCAUACAUCUAAGGAAGGCAGCAGGCGCGGAAAUUGCCCAAUGUAUUCGUUACGAGGCAGUGACAAGAAAUGAAGGGUACUUUUGUACACCAUCUAGGGCCUGUUAUAUCUAAGCUAACCGGUUAUUCGUGGGAAAGCUCGGUGCCAGCAGCCGCGGUAAUUCCGACACGGAGAGUAUUCUAUUGUGUUGCUGCAGUUAAAAAGUUCGUAGUUUAUUUUCUUUUUCACUAUAAGUAAAUCUAAGUGUUUAUAACUACUUAACUGUUUUUAUAGUAUGAAAUUAUAAUGCGGUAUUUGGCGUAGUUUGGGGUACUCGAUAGGGACAGGUGAAAUAGGAUGAUCUAUCGAAGACCAACGGUAGCGGAGGCUCCCAACGCAGUCUAAGUAUCACGAUCAAGAACUAAAGUCAGGGGAUAGACGACGAUUAGAAACCGUUUUAUUCCUGACCCUAAACGAUGUCGCCUAGCUGAU